This is an antisense RNA of 75 nucleotides. It matches the Rfam family "ASpks TB sRNA".
CUUCAGCGAACCCAGCAUCAGCGGUCGCUCCGGCGGCCGGUCCCUGCCGUAGGUCGCCAGCAGAGCCCGUGCCUC